CCUCUCUGUAGUACGUAUUAAUUUGAUUUCUAUUUGCUCUUUGUAGCACAAGUUUUUGUUUUUUUUUUUUCUUAUCUAAUUUUCUUUCAUUUUCCGUGUUGAUGAUAUUCACAUGGCUGUGUGAUUACUGAUUAGCCUGUGUCUGUCACAGGUCCAUGUGGUCAGUCCGUAUAAAUUUCGAGAAUCGUGUGGUUUGAAAUUUGAGAGAUAAUUUGUCAAUUUCACAAUUUUAACAUUUAUGUCCCCUACAGACAAAACUUCAAAUGCAAUCAAACCAAUAUACAAUUUAAGCAUAUAAAUCCCUCAUAGCACUUGACAUCUUAUCAUACACCACAAGCAUAAUAAGAUUUUGAUUAAGUUGUCAAAAUGCUAAAGAUUGUGUUUUAGUCCUCAUACC
RNAcentral lists this long non-coding RNA (397 nucleotides) under Gossypium raimondii (Peruvian cotton). RNAcentral's name for it is "long non-coding RNA (GRAI_LNC004971)". The record is from RNAcentral. Lineage: Eukaryota; Viridiplantae; Streptophyta; Magnoliopsida; Malvales; Malvaceae.